Piliocolobus tephrosceles (Ugandan red Colobus) is the source of this 3014-nucleotide long non-coding RNA. RefSeq lists it as uncharacterized. The transcript has 9 exons. The record is from RefSeq and is a predicted model, not a curated record. NCBI's taxonomy places the organism in Eukaryota, Metazoa, Chordata, Mammalia, Primates, Cercopithecidae.
AAUGGGGCAGCCAGGGGUGCUUGAGAACAGAUGGGGCCGGUCACAGUGGCCCACACCUGUAAUCCCAGCACUUUGGGAGGCCGAGGUGGGCGGAUCACUUGAGCCUCCCCAGAGGUACAAUGAGGCUUGAGAGGUCCUCUGGAGUCAGAAGAUGCCACCACCCCAGAGGAUGUGAGCCUACCUGUGGAGGCCUUGAUCCCCACCACUAGGAUGGGGCAGGUUCCAAGACUACUUUGGUGGAUCUGAGAAUAAAUUCCUCAAGGCAAUGUCCUUGCUCUGCCCUUCUCCAGGGUGGGACCCAGAGUUACUGGCCCCUCCAUCCCAUGGAGCUGAUUCUGCAACCCUCACUUCCUAAGCACAUAAAUCUGGAACCACUGGUUAAAGAGAAGUCUGAGAGCCAAAAUACACACAGCCAGCUGUGAGUUACUUACCUGCCUUACUCAGGAAAAGGACAUGGGCUGCUCAAGCACACACCUCUUUGCCAACUAUGCCAGCAUUUUUACCUUCAAGGCCGAUGUUCUCAUCAUGUUAAGUACAUUUGAGUUUAGUUUCACCUGGACAACAUGUGGGGUGUGGGCAGGCAGUGAGAACACAGAUGGUAGCCCUCAAUGCAUCCCAGCCUGAAAAGCACAUGAGUCAGCCCUUCCUUCCACUUACCCACUACCUCUCACGCUAGUCGUUGUCUUUUUUUGUUGUUGUUUUUGAGACGAGUCUGGCUCUGUCUCCCAGGUUGCAGUGCAGUGGCGCCAUCUCGGCUCACUGCAAACUCCGCCUCCCAGGUUCGAACAAUUCUUGUGCCUCAGCUUGCCGAGUAGCUGGAACUACAGGCGCGCAUCACCGCGCCCGGUUAAUUUUUGUAUUUUCAGUGGACUGGAUUUCACCAUUUCGGCCAGGCUGGUCUCGAACUCCUGCCCUCAGGUGAUCUGCCUGCCUUGGCCUCUCAAAGUGCUGGGAUUACAGGCGUAAACCACCACACCAGACCUCCCUGGUCUUCUUAAAGUGAAUCAGUCCGAAUUCCUGUAAUCCAUGUAACUGCUUUGAGUGACUCUGGAACCCUCUUUGAAGCCCCCACAAAUACCUAAAAGAGGAGCAGGAGCCCUACAACACAUUCCCCUAAACUGUGUUCCUAAGAACCAUCCAGCUACCUGUGGAACCCUAAGGCCCCUUCCUUAUGCUCUUUACCAAUAUCCUGGCAAUGGUUGUUUGAGCCUAGUUAAUGACAGAAGCUCCAGCCAGAUGCUGAUGGGGGUCCUCUACGAAAAGACACCGCCAUUCCCGAGGGUGAUACUGCAGCGACCUAGUACUUGUGCGCAUAGAAGCCAAGGGGAAAUUGCCCUACCCUAAACUCCAGUGAAAAGCCCUUUGCAGUCCAACAGGCUUGCAUUCACAUCGCAGCAGUGUGGGGUUUGGACAAAUUCCACAAUCUGAGUCUGUUUCCUCCUCUAGAACGCGAGUCUAUGAAUUCCUGUCUACUGCCUGGAAGUGCCGCUGUCAGGACUGACUAAGAUAAUGUGUGUACUUUCGGUGCACAGGGGACGCUCAACACGUGCGAGCUUCCCUUGCAGAAAACCAAGAGAUGAAAGGCUGGGGGCCGCCCCUGCCUGGACGUGCAUCCCAUACUCUCCGAGAUCAUCUCUCCCCAGCUAGCGCUUACUCCUGCCCAGGAACUAGAUCCUGGGGCCUCCGGCCUCGAGCAAUCACUGACCUGGGAUCACGAACAGAUUUCAAGCAUCAGGAAGAAGGUGGGAGUAGAUGGCAGUGAAGGUGCCUCCCAACUGGGAGAUGCAGUGUGCAUUGGCUGGGAUCUUCUUCCUCGGCUCCCUACUCCGCCACUACCCCAGAACAAACUCCUACCUCUAUUUGCAACUAAGAGUUACAUCCCCCAUGCCAAGACCUUCCGAGGCGUCCCAGAGGGGCUUGCUGGGAGGAUCAAAUGAGAUCAUCCACAUCAGGGUCAGCACAGUGCCCGGAAUGGGGUACCUGUGAAAUUAAUGGGAAAUUCCUCACUGCCGGACUGCACCCACCCUUGAGGACCUCACAAUCUCUUUGUGCAGAGCAGAAGCCAGACACAGACAGGGACUACGAAGCGACAAUCCCCAGCCCUGUGUGUUCAAGGAGCCCCCGAGGGGCAGGCGGCCACGCUGCAGAAGGCUAGCCUCUCCGACCCCCAGGGAGCAUGGCGUGGGCUGCAGGGACAGAACGCUUCUCAGAGGAGGUAGGGACCCCAUGGAGUACGUGACGCCGGGCCCUCCAGCUGCAUGCUCCAGUUAGCAGGACAGAGACCCCUCCCCACCCAUUCCCAGCCUUCCCUGGCUUCCUGUUCUGCUGCUGGGAGGCCCUGUCACCACACAUGCGCGUGCACGCGCUAACACACACACCCCUCCCAGGCACCCCCGGAAGACCAGCUGCAGCUGGGGGUGGGGGUGCACAGAGCACAGCCAGGGUUCUCAGAUCCCUAGCCUGCUCUCCCACCCUGCCCUAGCCCCCAACUGCCGAGCUGCUUCUAGGUUUAAAGCAAAACAUGACUCUGUCCUUCCUGCUGCUCAGUGGCAGCAACACUGCCUCGGGUUAUUUUUAGCAGGGAUGCAGGGAAGGCACAGUUCUCCUUGACUUUAACUAGGGACAACCCCCAACCCCCCGCCAAGACUCACUGGAGGAGGCCGGGUACGGAAACCCCCCUCCCAGAAAGGGGAAAUGGUGUGUUUUCUGUUCCUUCAAUUCACUAGAAUGGGAGUUGCAGUCAAGCUUGGGGUUGAACUGAUGGGAAAUUCUAGGUUCCAAAGCCUAUGUAUGGGCUCUGCCCCAUUCCUGGUCUCUGUGUUUCCAUGAAUCUGGGAAGCCAGAGGCACACAGUGUCUGGAGUCGAGGUGCCCCGUCUGUGGGUGUUGGGGUCCCUGGGAAACUGUUUGGUUAUAGCCAGGCUCUGUGGACUACACAGGGGCACCAGGCAUUGUGGGUGGUGUUUCACAGGCGCUGGCUAAAUAUUCAUUAAACUGAGCAUGUCCAUUCUGUGU